CAGUUGUUGGUGGAGGUAUCGUCCCGCUCCCGUCCCAGCUGACUUGAUCUGUUGCGUCCUGUGGUGCUAAGAUACUUUGUUAAAAUAGAACCUCAUUACUGAUAUUAGUGUAGAGUUUCCCUGGUAUAAAAGAAUCCUUGAAUAGAGACUGUGCCCGGUGACGCAGGAAACAGUGGCGGAAGCACUUAACGUGUGGCACAAAAGAGAUGCCAUGAAUGUGUGACCGGCGAGGAGUUUCAGCAGCCAUAACAACAAGUUGUAAUGUUUGGUGUCUCUCCUAAGACUGAAGAAGAAAUCUCCAAACGUUCGGCUAUGGUAGUCGGCAUCAACUUCACGACGAUUCCCCUGUCACAGGUCAUGGUGGGACGCCUCUGACCAGCCAUGGGCUUGACAAGAGUAUCGCCGGUGGUGCGAGUCGGUGGACGUGGGUGGCUCAUCCUAGACGCCCGCCUCGCCGCCCUCACAGCUGCCCUCUACACCAUUUGCUCGUCUGGGCUGGUGACGCUGUUGUAUGGCUGGUGGCUGCUGGUGAAUAUAC
Long non-coding RNA from Homarus americanus (American lobster), 538 nucleotides. RefSeq lists it as uncharacterized. The transcript has 4 exons. NCBI's taxonomy places the organism in Eukaryota, Metazoa, Arthropoda, Malacostraca, Decapoda, Nephropidae. The record is from RefSeq and is a predicted model, not a curated record.